Molecule: long non-coding RNA, 1303 nt
Filed under: Bos indicus x Bos taurus (hybrid cattle)
Lineage: Eukaryota; Metazoa; Chordata; Mammalia; Artiodactyla; Bovidae
Description: lncRNA (ENSBIXG00000008419.1)
Source: RNAcentral
AUGCCGGGCGGGAAAAAGCAGGUUUUUUCCUCCGGGUUCUCCUCCAAGGGACAGGCCCCUGCCCGGGCUGGCAGGUGCAACACGGUGUUUAUCAGCAGGGCUUCUUCUUGCGAGGCUCCCGUGAGCGGCCACCUUCUUCCUAACCUCACGCGACACCUGCCCUUCCUGGUGGUUCCAGUGCGUGCAGAGCCUGGGCUUGGCCUCAAGGUGACUCGACUCUGGCCACGGAGCGGGGCAGGCCUGCUUGGGUCAGCCCUGGAUGGUGGCAGGAGUCAGGGGCACUGCAGAACCCCAGGGGGCUGACCUCCGGGUGGGCCCUCCAGACGCAGACCCAUGCGGACGGAAAAGGGAGCACUGCAGGCACCGCGGAGGAGGCAGAGUCAGCUCAGAGCAGACCUGGGGGUGUGUGAAGGAGCAGGGGCCCUCUGUGUCUCAAUGUGAGGGUGUGUGUGUGUGCAGGUGUGUGUGUGUGCAUGCAGGUGGGUGUGUAUGUGUGUGUGCACGGGUGUGCGCGUGUGCGUGUGUGUGUGCGUGCGUGCCUGUGCAGAGUGUAUAGAAUCGUGCACGCAUGGGAUGAGCCCCAGGGCUGGAUCAGCACCUGCUGGUGAGCUUGCUCUGCUCCAUGACCACUUCCCAGGUUGCCUCGGUCUGUGGUGCCCAGCUUACCAAGCACGUGUUCUAGCUCAGGCACCGUCCCAAGGAUUUAUCUGUCUGGUCCUGUUCCACUCUCACAGCAGCCCCUCUGGUAAAUAGUUUCACCCCCAUGUAACACACGUGGAAACAGAGAUUUGAGGGCUUCUGCUAUGCCUCCAAAUCCUGAAGCCGGGUCCCUCUGAUGCUCUUCUGCCAUCACUUGUCUCGCUGGGGACUCAGUGGAAACAGGGCUAUUUUUUUGCAAAGAUGAGGCAGAGGAAGGAACCUGGGAAACAUCUCUGCUCGUCACAGCGUGCCAUGAGAAGCACGAGAAGAGGGACUGGAUGCUGAGAGUCAGGGGUGGCGGAGAGCUUCCUCUGUCUCCUCUCAAUCACCUCAUCUGUGUUCUGCUCUGUCUGCCCUCUCCGGCUGGAAAUCGUCAACUGGCAGCCGCCAGAUCAGGUCUGGACUCCUUAAGUGGCUUUCCCAAUCCUCCCAGAACCCUUCGCUGUCUGAGCAGCCGGCCUAGAUCUGUAGCUAGAGAGGUGGCGACGAUGCCGAUUCAGUGAUCGCCUCUCGGGAGAGACCGUUGGACCCGCGUUUGCACGAGGCCAGCACUGGGGCGUUGCUGCUGGGAAAGCACUUGGUGUCAGAGACUCGGCUCCGUGAC